Long non-coding RNA from Cervus elaphus (red deer), 755 nucleotides. RefSeq lists it as uncharacterized. Lineage: Eukaryota; Metazoa; Chordata; Mammalia; Artiodactyla; Cervidae. The transcript is spliced from 4 exons. The record is from RefSeq and is a predicted model, not a curated record.
CUUGCCUCCAACGUCCACAGCUAUCAGAGCUAGUGCGUUUUCUCGUGUGGGCGCUCUCAAUAGCCUUUCAUAUCUUUCAUCAACGCAGAGUCUGCUUAGUUGAUCAGUUACUUAAAGUGGAAGAUCAGACCAUCGAGUUGAGAACCGUUUUUAUACAGGCGUUUAGUAUUAUAAAUUUCCCUGUUUCUCCUGAGGGUACUUCCUCAAUGCAUCACUUGCCCAAGAAUCCAUCUCUCAGUCACUGCUUCUAGGGGCCUGACUGACAAUGCAGGCCCACCCUCUCUUCAGGCUACUGGCUUCCAGCCCAGGAGAAAGAGAGUCUCUUUCCUGAUAGCUUCAGAGGAAGUCCAAGGUCAGCAGCCCAUUGGCUCAUUGAGUCUUGAUGAACCCAUGUGGGCCUUGUACCCAUCCCAGAAGCUGGAGGGGGUUGGGAGAGAGUGUGCAGAAAUUGGAAGGAUGGUUCCCCAAAGGAAAGUUGCUAUGCCAUUACUAGAAGGUUAAAGCAAAAUCCACAGAUGACCCUGUAGUGCCUAUAAAAGUUGGAAUGAGGAGAGGUUAUAUUUUGACUCCCUGCAAUAUAAAGUGAAUUUCUCUCAAUAUCUCUAAUUCAGGGAUUCUCACUCCUGGUUGUACUUUGGGCUUAAAAAUCCUGAUGCUUGGGACACAUCCUCAGUUCAGUUCAGUCGCUCAGUUGUGUCCGACUCUUUGCGACCCCGUGGACUACAGCAUGCCAGGCCUCCCUGUCCAUCAUCAAC